ACGACCGCGGGGGAUGCAGAUGGUCCAAAAUUUCUUUUGUCUCUUUCCACCAGGUUUCAGUUCUACUCGAUUUCUCAAUGAAUCUGAAGUUAUCGUGAGUAAAAGUCUAUGCGAACUUGUCAAGGAAUGACGCAAAUUGCUAUUGGAAGUGAAGACCGGUCACCGGCGCUAGCUGAAGAAAUGCCGACAUGUAUGUGACUAUGUGAGAUAAGUAUUUUUUGUCUUUGUCUCUCUCUCUGUUUCUCUUAACUGCAGAGGAGCUCCAUGAUGCUUCCCAUAAGUGGUUUGUCAACAAUUGGUUGCUUGUUGUUUUAUGUAAAUUUUUCUUUCUGCAGGGGAACAGUUUUGGAACCUCCUUGUCCAAGGAACGUUGAUGGGAUUAGUAUUGAUCUGAGCCUAACUGGAAUUUCCAUAGCUUAGUAUCUGAGUUCGAGUCUAUUGAAAAAAAGCUCAAUGCCUUUUCAAAGUUUCCCCAGCCAAUUACUAACACAACCUUGCGUUGAUUGGCGUGUUAAAAGGAGUGAAGAAGAAGAAGAAGAAGAAGAAGAAGAUUAUAAUCAAAUAUGUAUAGUGGGGAGACGUUUUGCAUUUGAUGAACUAUACUUGAGUGAUGAAUCUGAUGAUGAGUUUGACCAUGAACAUGAGUAUAUGAUGAAUAAGAUGGGUGUGGCUAAGAGUGCCCUAUACGAUGUGAAUAACAACGACCAAACCGAAAGGCUGAGAGUGCCCUAUACGAUGUGAAUAACAACCACCAAACCGAAACCACAAUAGCAUGAUACUGUUGCAGAUCUUUGAUGAAACCAAACUGAUAUUGGUGGAGAUCUACAUGAUGGAAGGGAAGUCAUUCUCUAGUUGAAUUUCAUUCAAGCAAAUCAAAUGAGGUUGCAGAUGCAUUGUCACGACAGAGUGAGAAUGAAGUUGAGGGAAAAUGUGUGGUUUAUAUGAUACAAGGGUCUGGCUCAAGAAUUCUUGAAUGAUUAAAAGCUGAAGUUGCAACUCAACCUCACCUCGCCAAAAUUCGCGAUAAGAUAAUAUGAGGAGAGCUUCCUCGUGAAUGGGAGGCUAGAGAAGGGCUGAUUAUUUUAAGGGCAGAAUUUACAUCUCGAACGACUCAACUUUGGUCGCGAAGUGGUAUCAGGAUUUCAAAACUUUGGUCAUGAGGGGGUUCAAAAAACCAUGGAUCGAAUUAUUACUGGAAAGGGUGGAAGAAGACUGUUUAAGAAUUUGUGAGGGAGUGUCAAAUUUGCCAUCAAAACAAGUGGGAAACAUUCCAACCUGCUGGAUUGCUACAACCACUUCAAGUUCCUAUGCAAGUUUGGCCGGAUAUUACUAUGGAUUUCUUGGAAGCUUUGCCUAAAGUUUUUGGGAAAACAGUGAUCUUAGUAGUGGACUAAUAGUGGUUGAUCAUUUCUCAAAAUAUGCUCAUUUCAUUGCUCUUAAUCAUUCGUAUACUACUACUACCUCCGUAGCACAAAUAUUUUUUUGUGACAUUAUGCGCUUACAUGGUAUUCUCGAGACCAUAGUGACUAAUUGUGAUAAGUAUCUCGAAGCCUAUUUUGGCGAGAAUUGUGGAGAAUGAUGGGGACAAAAUUGUGUUUCACUACAACAUAUCGACCUCAAUCUGAUGGGCAGACGCAAAUUGUUAAUCGGACCUUGGAAAUGUAUCUUCAUUGUUUAAGAGGUGAUGCUCCGCAUAACUGGCAUUUCGAGUAGUAUAUGGGAGGGAGCCUUGGGAGGUGGUACGCGAGUGGAAGCAGUUGAUGUCGCGUUGGAACAGCAAGAUGAAUUCCUAGCAUUAGCAAGAGAAAGACUUCUCGAAACUCAGCAUUGGAUGAAGCUCACGUAUGAUAACCAUCAUCGGUUUGUAAAGUUUCAGGUGGGAGAUUGGAUGUUGCUCAAAUUACAACCAUAUCGACAGUUAACGAACUCUAAGAAGGCUUACACGAAACUAUCCCCAAAAUAUUAUGGUCCAUUUGAAAUUGCGGUUUAUAUAGGAACAGUUUCGUACCGUUUACACCUUCCGGAGGGAUCGAAAGUUCAUGAUGUGUUCCAAUUUUCUCUUCUGAAGGAUCAUAAAGGGGAAUGACCCGACGUCGUCACUUAUUUACCUCUGGU
Molecule: non-coding RNA, 2115 nt
Organism: Camelina sativa (false flax)
Lineage: Eukaryota; Viridiplantae; Streptophyta; Magnoliopsida; Brassicales; Brassicaceae
Source: RefSeq, a predicted model, not a curated record